UACGUAGGGUGCGAGCGUUAAUCGGAAUUACUGGGCGUAAAGCGUGCGCAGGCGGUUCUCCAAGUCCGUUGUGAAAGCCCCGGGCUCAACCUGGGAAUGGCAGUGGAAACUAGGGGACUUGAAUCUGGCAGAGGGGGGUGGAAUUCCACGUGUAGCAGUGAAAUGCGUAGAGAUGUGGAGGAACACCGAUGGCGAAGGCGGCAUCCUGGACCGACACUGACGCUGAGGCGCGAAAGCUAGGGUAGCAAACGGG
RNAcentral lists this ribosomal RNA (253 nucleotides) under uncultured bacterium. RNAcentral describes it as "partial 16S ribosomal RNA". It matches the Rfam family "Bacterial small subunit ribosomal RNA", at positions 524 to 776 of the family's 1533-position model. The record is from RNAcentral.